GACGAACGCUGGCGGCGUGCUUAACGCAUGCAAGUCGAACGGAAAGGCCUGCUUUCCCUUGUGGAUUGCGGGUACUCGAGUGGCGAACGGGUGAGUAACACGUGAGUGAUCUGCCCCCAACUUGGGUAUAAGCCUGGGAAACUGGGUCUAAUUCCCGAUAGGACUGCAGGGUGGUGCCUGUGGUGGAAAACGAUUUUCUAGUGGUUGGGGAUGAGCUCGCGGCCUAUCAGCUUGUUGGUGGGGUAAUGGCCUACCAAGGCGGCGACGGGUAGCCGGCCUGAGAGGGUGGACGGCCACAUUGGGACUGGGAUACGGCCCAGACUCCUACGGGAGGCAGCAGUGGGGAAUAUUGCACAAUGGGCGGAAGCCUGAUGCAGCGACGCCGCGUGGGGGAUGACGGCCUUCGGGUUGUAAACUCCUUUCGACCGCGAGGAAGCCACCUGGUUGGAAGGGUGGUGACGGUAGUGGUAGAAGAAGCACCGGCUAACUACGUG
RNAcentral lists this ribosomal RNA (494 nucleotides) under uncultured bacterium. Its description in RNAcentral is "partial 16S ribosomal RNA". It matches the Rfam family "Bacterial small subunit ribosomal RNA", at positions 28 to 507 of the family's 1533-position model. The record is from RNAcentral.